This 446-nucleotide ribosomal RNA is filed under the name uncultured bacterium. RNAcentral describes it as "bacterial SSU rRNA". It matches the Rfam family "Bacterial small subunit ribosomal RNA", at positions 28 to 458 of the family's 1533-position model. The record is from RNAcentral.
GAUGAACGCUGGCGGCGUGCUUAACACAUGCAAGUCGAGCGAAGCACUUAUGAUGAUCCUUCGGGUGAUUCAUUUGUGACUGAGCGGCGGACGGGUGAGUAACGCGUGAGUAACCUGCCUCAUACAGGGGAAUAACAGUUAGAAAUGACUGCUAAUGCCGCAUAAGCGCACAGGGCUGCAUGGCCCGGUGUGAAAAACUCCGGUGGUAUGAGGUGGACUCGCGUCUGAUUAGCUAGUUGGCAGGGUAACGGCCUACCAAGGCGACGAUCAGUAGCCGGCCUGAGAGGGUGAACGGCCACAUUGGGACUGAGACACGGCCCAAACUCCUACGGGAGGCAGCAGUGGGGAAUAUUGCACAAUGGGGGAAACCCUGAUGCAGCGACGCCGCGUGAGUGAAGAAGUAUUUCGGUAUGUAAAGCUCUAUCAGCAGGGAAGAAAAUGACGGU